GUAGAGUGCAGCUGGUGGAAGCAGUUGAGCAGAUACACAGCAGACUCCACUGCACCCAGUCCAGUUGCACUCUCACUUAUCGCAUUCAUCAGAGGAUCCACCACACAACUCACAAUCUGCCAAAGGAUACAAGACAAUGAGCCACAGUGGCGGCAGUAACCACCUCAGUGAGCAGACUCAGGGUGCGUGCCACUCCAGGUGUGGGUGCCAGUGUCUCUCCUGGCGGCUCUAUCCUCUCACUCACUCACAUGGCUCACCUGGUGGCACCAAAAGACAGCUUAGCUGGUGGAGUUCAUCAAGAGUGGCCACCAGCAGUCCUGCAUCAGUCACCUGCAGGGAUGAGAUGAACAUUAAAAGGAAGCAGAAACAUGAGCUGAAUAUCAACUGAAUGCUGAAAAGGAGGCAUGGUGACACAAGUGGUAGAAGAGAACUGAAGGAGAGCAGGAGGUGACUGAGUGAACAACACAGGGAGGAUUAAAUGGUAUACUUAAGAAUGCUUAUUUUAAAGUCUAUCUAUUAUAUCCCCAUUAAAGCAGGGUAGCUGACACACGGCCCCUACAACAUAUAACAUCUUGUCUCAUCCUAGGAAUAAACGAUACAAAGGAGAAGGUACCCAGUGCUCUUACUCCCCCUUUUUAGUAACUUUUUACAAGCAUGCAAGGAAUGACAUGGCAAUAAUAUCAAAUCUAGCUACAGAGUUACACCCAAGCCAUGUUCAUCUUAAAAUAAGGAUAAAAAAACAGGAAUAACUGACCAGCUAAGCC
Molecule: long non-coding RNA, 764 nt
Organism: Scylla paramamosain (green mud crab)
Lineage: Eukaryota; Metazoa; Arthropoda; Malacostraca; Decapoda; Portunidae
Exons: 3
Source: RefSeq, a predicted model, not a curated record